RNAcentral lists this ribosomal RNA (611 nucleotides) under Pseudogymnoascus pannorum. Its description in RNAcentral is "eukaryotic LSU rRNA". It matches the Rfam family "Eukaryotic large subunit ribosomal RNA", at positions 38 to 667 of the family's 3401-position model. The record is from RNAcentral. Lineage: Eukaryota; Fungi; Ascomycota; Leotiomycetes; Thelebolales; Thelebolaceae.
GCAUAUCAAUAAGCGGAGGAAAAGAAACCAACAGGGAUUACCUCAGUAACGGCGAGUGAAGCGGUAACAGCUCAAAUUUGAAAUCUGGCCUCACGGUCCGAGUUGUAAUUUGUAGAGGAUGCUUCGAGCAUGGUCUGGCCUAAGUUCCUUGGAACAGGACGUCAUAGAGGGUGAGAAUCCCGUAUGCGGCCAGGUGCCUACGCUCAUGUGAAGCUCCUUCGACGAGUCGAGUUGUUUGGGAAUGCAGCUCAAAAUGGGUGGUAAAUUUCAUCUAAAGCUAAAUAUUGGCCAGAGACCGAUAGCGCACAAGUAGAGUGAUCGAAAGAUGAAAAGCACUUUGGAAAGAGAGUUAAACAGUACGUGAAAUUGUUGAAAGGGAAGCGCUUGCAACCAGACUUGCGCGCGGCCGAUCAUCCGGUGUUCUCACCGGUGCACUCGGCCGUGCUCAGGCCAGCAUCGGUUUUGGCGGCUGGAUAAAGGCCCUAGGAAUGUGGCUCCUCUCGGGGAGUGUUAUAGCCUAGGGUGCAAUGCAGCCUGCCGGGACCGAGGACCGCGCUUCGGCUAGGAUGCUGGCGUAAUGGUUGUAAGCGGCCCGUCUUGAAACACGGACC